GAGCACAGCAGGAGGGAUAAUGAUCGGGAUAUAACCCAAGCAUUCGAGCUGGCAAAGGCUACCUUCUUUGGGUCCCCUCCCUUUGUGUGGGAGCUCUGUUUUCACUCUAUUAAAUCUUGCAACUGCACUCUUCUGGUCCGUGUUUGUUACAGAUCAAGCUGAGCUGAGCUCGCCAUCCACCACUGCUGUUUGCCGCCAUCGCAGACCCGCAGCUGACUUCCAUCCCUCCAGAUCCAGCAGGGUGUCUGCUGUGCUCCUGAUCCAGCCAGGUGCCCAUUGCCACUCCUGAUCAGGCUAAAGGCUUGCCAUUGUUCCUGCACUGCUAAGUGCCUGGGUUCGUCCUAAUGGAGCUGAACACUAGUCACUGGGUUCCAUGGUUCUCUUCUGUGACCCACGGCUUGUAAUAGAGCUAUAACACUCACCACAGGGCCCAAGAUUCCAUUCCUUGGAAUCCGUGAGGCCAAGAACCCCAGGUCAGAGAACACGAGGCUUGCCACCAUCUUGGAAGUGGCCUGCCGCCAUUUUGGAAGUGGCCUGCCACCAUCUUGGGAGCUCUCAGAGCAAGGACCCCCAGGUACUCAUCUAGGUAAUCAUGACACAUGGAUGAACAAACACUUAUAAAGUCCUGUUCUAAUGCAGCUUCUGUUAGUGGAAACUUAUAUUCUAGUUCAUCUUCUGCAUUCUAGAAAAAGUGUCAAGAAAAGAAUAUGAAAAGUCAAAAUAAGGAUGAAAUUGUAGAAAUGCUUUCUUUUUGGAAAGACACACCAAAUUCAUCCUGGUGUAGAGAAUGAUUAGGAGUACAAGUAAGUAUUUCAAGAUGGUAUUGCUUCAAGUUCUAAUUUUUGGAAGCCAGUAUUUUGAUGUCAGUAAUGAUCAUGAUUUAAUCAGGAAGAAUUUUCUUAUUGCUGUUUACUGUUGCAGGAAGUCAGGGACCCCAAAUGGAGGGACUGGCUGAAGCCAUGGCAGAAGAAUGUGGAUUGUGAAGAUUUCAUGGACAUUUAUUAGUUCCCCAAAUUAAUACUUUUAUAAUUUCUUAUGCCUGUCUUUACUGCAAUCUCUAAACAUAAAUUGUGAAGAUUUCAUGGACACUUAUAACUUCCUCAAUCAAUACCCUUGUGAUUUCCUAUGCCUGUCUUUACUUUAAUCUCUUAAUCCUGUCAUCUCGUAAGCCGAGGAGGAUGUAUGCCCCUCAGGACCCUGUGAUAAUUGCAUUAACUGCACAAAUUGUAGAGCAUGUGUGUUUGAACAAUAUGAAAUCUGGGCACCUUGAAAAAAGAACAAGAUAACAGCAAUGUUUAGGAAACAAGAGAGAUAACCUUAAACUGUGACUGCCAGUGAGCCGGGCAGAACAGAGCCAUAUUUCUCUUCUUUCAAAAGCAAAUGGGAGAAAUAUCACUGAAUUCUUUUUCUCAACAAGGAACAUCCCUGGGAAAGAGAAUAUGUGCCUGGGGGUAGGUCUAUAGAUGGCCCCCCUGGGUGUGGUCAUUUUCUAUGGUCUGUAGACUGUAGGGGUGAAAUAGACCCCAGUCUCCCAUAGCACUCCCAGGCUUAUUAGGAAGAGGAAAUUCCCGUCUAAUAAAUUUUGGUCAGACCAGUUGCUCUCAAAACCCUGUCUCCUGAUAAGAUGUUAUCAAUGACAGUGGUGCCCGAAACUUCAUUAGCAAUUUUAAUUUCGCCCCGGUCCUGUGGUCCUGUGAUCUCACCCUGCCUCCAUUUGCCUUGUGAUAUUCUAUUAUCUUGUGAAGUACUUGAUGUCUGUGACCCACACCUAUUUGCACACUCCCUCCC
Molecule: long non-coding RNA, 1788 nt
Filed under: Homo sapiens (human)
Lineage: Eukaryota; Metazoa; Chordata; Mammalia; Primates; Hominidae
Description: HSALNT0125149
Source: RNAcentral